CCUACGGGUGGCUGCAGUGGGGAAUAUUGGACAAUGGGCGAAAGCCUGAUCCAGCCAUGCCUCGUGUGUGAAGAAGGCCUUCGGGUUGUAAAGCACUUUCAGUGGGGAAGAAAGCCUUGGGGCUAAUACCCUCGAGGAAGGACAUCACCCACAGAAGAAGCACCGGCUAACUCCGUGCCAGCAGCCGCGGUAAUACGGAGGGUGCGAGCGUUAAUCGGAAUUACUGGGCGUAAAGCGCGCGUAGGCGGUCUGAUAAGCCGGUUGUGAAAGCCCCGGGCUCAACCUGGGAACGGCAUCCGGAACUGUCAGGCUAGAGUGCAGGAGAGGAAGGUAGAAUUCCCGGUGUAGCGGUGAAAUGCGUAGAGAUCGGGAGGAAUACCAGUGGCGAAGGCGGCCUUCUGGACUGACACUGACGCUGAGGUGCGAAAGCGUGGGUAGCAAACAGGAUUAGAUACCCCAGUAGUC
Molecule: ribosomal RNA, 465 nt
Filed under: Vreelandella stevensii
Lineage: Bacteria; Pseudomonadati; Pseudomonadota; Gammaproteobacteria; Oceanospirillales; Halomonadaceae
Description: partial 16S ribosomal RNA
Rfam family: Bacterial small subunit ribosomal RNA
Source: RNAcentral